Molecule: ribosomal RNA, 714 nt
Filed under: Wilsoniana portulacae
Lineage: Eukaryota; Oomycota; Peronosporomycetes; Albuginales; Albuginaceae
Description: eukaryotic LSU rRNA
Rfam family: Eukaryotic large subunit ribosomal RNA
Source: RNAcentral
UGGACCUGAUAUCAGGCAAGAUUACCCGCUGAACUUAAGCAUAUAACUAAGCGGUGGAAAAGAAACUAACAAGGAUUCCCUCAGUAACGGCGAGUGAAGCGGGAAGAGCUCAAGCAUAAAAUCUCCGGUUUGAUGUAAUCGGCGAAUUGUAGUCUAUGGAAGCGAUGUCAGAAGCGUCGGCAGGUUCAAGUUCCUUGGAAGAGGACAGCAUGGAGGGUUACACUCCCGUCUGAGCCGAGCUGAUGUGAAGUACGACACGCUCUCUUCGAGUCGCGUUGUUUGGGAUUGCAGCGCAAAGCAGGUGGUAAACUCCAUCGAAAGCUAAAUACCGGUAGAGACCGAUAGCGAACAAGUACCGUGAGGGAAAGAUGAAAAGAACUUUGAAAAGAGAGUUAAAAGUACCUGAAACUGCUGAAAGGGAAGCGAAUCGCGUCUACUGUCCCUUCGCGUGCAUCGCGUACUGUGGCUUUCGGGCGACAGUAGGUUGUGUCGCGGUGGAGUCAGAGUCAGUUCCGAGUCCGCGGUCUGAGUCGGGCGAUAAAGGUAGGAAUCCCGUGUAGCGGGACCCGCAUGACUCUCCCAAGUCGGGCUGUGGUUGGGACUGAGGUGUCUACAACAUGCAAAUCAAGUGCGUUGCGCGAGCUCUCGCGCAAUCGGAGGAAAGUUCGCUGGAAUCCGUAUUGUCGUGGUGGCACGCGUAGCGAUUAACUGCGC